RNAcentral lists this ribosomal RNA (361 nucleotides) under uncultured soil bacterium. Its description in RNAcentral is "bacterial SSU rRNA". It matches the Rfam family "Bacterial small subunit ribosomal RNA", at positions 26 to 365 of the family's 1533-position model. The record is from RNAcentral.
AGGACGAACGCUGGCGGCGUGCUUAACACAUGCAAGUCGAGCGGUAAGGCCCUUUCGGGGGUACACGAGCGGCGAACGGGUGAGUAACACGUGAGCAAUCUGCCCUUCACUUCGGGAUAAGCCUCGGAAACGGGGUCUAAUACCGGAUAUGACUGCGCCAUGCAUGUGGUGUGGUGGAAAGUUCUGGCGGUGAGGGAUGAGCUCGCGGCCUAUCAGUCUUGGUUGGGUAGGGUAAUCGGCCUACCGAAGGUCGUUACGGACGGGUACGCCGGCCGUGAGGAGGGUCGACCGGCCACGACGUGGACUGAACGACCGACGGCCCAGACCGUCCGUACGGGAGCCGAGCGAGGUAGGGAAUAGU